AACGAACGCUGGCGGCAUGCCUAACACAUGCAAGUCGAACGAGACCUUCGGGUCUAGUGGCGCACGGGUGCGUAACGCGUGGGAACCUGCCCUUAGGUUCGGAAUAACUCCCCGAAAGGGGUGCUAAUACCGGAUAAUGUCUUCGGACCAAAGAUUUAUCGCCUUUGGAUGGGCCCGCGUUGGAUUAGCUAGUUGGUAGGGUAAAAGCCUACCAAGGCGACGAUCCAUAGCUGGUCUGAGAGGAUGAUCAGCCACACUGGGACUGAGACACGGCCCAGACUCCCACCGGGGGGAGGAGGGGGGAAAAAUGGAACAAGGGCCGAAGGCCGAACCAGGAAUGCCGGGUGAGGGGUUGAGGGCUUAGGGUUGUAAAGGCCCUUUUACCGGGAUGGAAAUUGCCGUUCCGGGAGAAUAAGCUCCGGCUAACUCCGU
Molecule: ribosomal RNA, 432 nt
Filed under: uncultured bacterium
Lineage: Bacteria
Description: partial 16S ribosomal RNA
Rfam family: Bacterial small subunit ribosomal RNA
Source: RNAcentral